UUGGGGUAUACCUGUUCGAGCGCCGUCAUGUGUCUAAGGCUUUGCCUUGCGUUGAUGCUGCCCCGGUAGGGGCUCAUCGAAACACAUCGGCGUCUUCUCUAGGCCCGAACCGCAGCAAGUAUGCGAGGAAGGAGGAGAGGAGGCAGCCAGUUAUCCGAAAUCAUGGCCUCGGAUCAGGUAGGGAUACCCGCUGAACUUAA
This 200-nucleotide unclassified non-coding RNA is filed under the name soil metagenome. RNAcentral describes it as "partial contains internal transcribed spacer 2 and large subunit ribosomal RNA". The record is from RNAcentral.